CAGAUGUGUCUACAGGGAAGACUUCUCCAGCUUCUCCAGCUGCUACCUUGGAUGCUGCACUCAAGCCCAGCUCCCAUCUCAGGGGUACUCCAACAGGGAAAAUCCAAGAUGCAACAGAUAAGAUAUCCCUGGAACCAUCCAAACAGAUGAGGCAAGAGCUGAAGGAACCCCUGCAGACAAGAGAAGAGAUGGACAUAGUGCUUCAGUGGAAGGUGGUAUUUCUUGAAGGAAGCACUCCAUCUUCGGUGCCAG
Molecule: long non-coding RNA, 252 nt
Organism: Passer domesticus (house sparrow)
Lineage: Eukaryota; Metazoa; Chordata; Aves; Passeriformes; Passeridae
Exons: 3
Source: RefSeq, a predicted model, not a curated record